Molecule: ribosomal RNA, 553 nt
Filed under: uncultured Streptococcus sp.
Lineage: Bacteria; Bacillati; Bacillota; Bacilli; Lactobacillales; Streptococcaceae
Description: bacterial SSU rRNA
Rfam family: Bacterial small subunit ribosomal RNA
Source: RNAcentral
GAUGAACGCUGACAGAAUGCUUAACACAUGCAAGUCAACUUGAACUUCGGUUUGGGUGGCGGACGGGUGAGUAACGCGUAAAGAACUUGCCUCACAGUUAGGGACAACAUUUGGAAACGAAUGCUAAUACCUGAUAUUAUGAUUUUAGGGCAUCCUAGAAUUAUGAAAGCUAUAUGCGCUGUGAGAGAGCUUUGCGUCCCAUUAGCUAGUUGGAGAGGUAACGGCUCACCAAGGCGAUGAUGGGUAGCCGGCCUGAGAGGGUGAACGGCCACAAGGGGACUGAGACACGGCCCUUACUCCUACGGGAGGCAGCAGUGGGGAAUAUUGGACAAUGGACCAAGAGUCUGAUCCAGCAAUUCUGUGUGCACGAUGAAGUUUUUCGGAAUGUAAAGUGCUUUCAGUUGGGAAGAAAAAAAUGACGGUACCAACAGAAGAAGUGACGGCUAAAUACGUGCCAGCAGCCGCGGUAAUACGUAUGUCACAACCGUUAUCCGGAUUUCUUGUGCCUUCAGCACGUCUAGGUGGGUAUGCAAGUCUGAUGUGCAAAUGCAGG